UACGAAAGGGGCUAGCGUUGUUCGGAAUUACUGGGCGUAAAGCGCACGUAGGCGGCACUGUGAGUUGGGGGUGAAAUCCCGGUGCUCAACUCCGGAACUGCCUUCAAGACUGCAGAGCUGGAGGAUGCGAGAGGUGAGUGGAAGUCCGAGUGUAGAGGUGAAAUUCGUAGAUAUUCGGAAGAACACGAGUGGCGAAGGCGGCUCACUGGAGCAUUUCUGACGCUGAGGUGCGAAAGCGUGGGGAGCAAACAGG
Molecule: ribosomal RNA, 253 nt
Filed under: uncultured bacterium
Lineage: Bacteria
Description: partial 16S ribosomal RNA
Rfam family: Bacterial small subunit ribosomal RNA
Source: RNAcentral